GAGCGAGUUCCAUCUCCAUUCAUAGAAAGUACCUCAGAGAGCACUCAUGAUAAUUAACAAUUAUGGGGGGGGGAACUGUCACUUGUCCAAAAGUCAAUCCAUUUAUCCAGGCCUUUACGGGAGGAGGAGAUUGUUGGGGGAGGGUUUUCUGCAGAGGACUGUCAUCUGGAGAGAAUUUGGACACAAACCAAAACAGAUUUGUUGAUUCAUAAGCACUAGAUAUAUUUAGAGUCUCCUGGGAUGUCUUUGCAGGCGUCAUUGAUAGUUUGGUCUUUGUUUUCAUCGUGAAAUUCUAAUGUUUUUUUUAAUUGUUUCUUUUCAUCUGUUCUUCUACGAAGGGAUGUUGUUAAAAUAUGCACUUAGAUCUCAAAAGGAGACCAGCAAACAAAGAAUUCCCUAAACGGGAUCAAUAAUUUUUGGGGGAGUAAAAAGGGGUUUUUUUUUGUUGUUUUUUUAAUUAGAGGUUUUCAAAUCUCACUGUAGUCUAGUGAUGUGACUUGUUAUUAAAUUUCUCCCAAGUAACACUUACUGUACUGAGACCCCAACAUUCUUUAUGUCGGUCUUACCAACAGCAGCCGGUGGAAAUUUCUUUCAUUUAUAAAAGUCUUAAGACACUUUUCCUUCACUGCACUUUAUCUGCUUCAGCUGUCUUCUCUGAUUUCUUUGUGAGCUCAUUUUCCCAGACCAACCUGAAGAGAUAAGCAGGAAUUCUUGGAAUCAAGGUCCCGCUUUCCCUGAAUGUGGACACAAGGAGAUGAGAUUACAGACGGCACAUUCAGAUACACAUCUCACGUGCUGCAGUCGGGCAUAAAUUUAAAGAGCAGACUCGAGGUAAGGUAGCUGUUCAGGUAUCAAACUGCUUGCUGGAAAAUGCCAUUUGCUGUGAGGAUUGGUUAUUAUUUAUUUUUUUAAAGCUCUGAAAGAGACUGAGCUUCCAGCAACCAACAACAAUACUGUGACACCAAAACAGCUCACAACAAAGCGCAUCAACACACGUAAAGCCACGGCGUCACAAGAAUAACGUACAGUAAAAAUAUAAACAUUACAACAUUAACAUUAAACAAACACUAUCUGGCAGAGUAUUUCUAACAGUAAUGCAGCAAAUAAUCAAGCCAAAGGAAUUUUCACUUUAAGACUUAUAUUUUUAAAACUAUGUUAUGGCAAAGAAGGAAGUGAAUUGCAUUUUAGGAUACCCACUUUUGAAGACAAAUUCAAAUAACCCUGAAGUGAUUAAAUCACAUUUUAAACUAUUUUUACAAGUUAAUAAAAAC
This is a long non-coding RNA of Astatotilapia calliptera (eastern happy), 1271 nucleotides long. Lineage: Eukaryota; Metazoa; Chordata; Actinopteri; Cichliformes; Cichlidae. The record is from Ensembl.